GGUAAGGUAGCUUAAUUGGUCAAAGCCUAAGGGCUGAAACCCCUUAUGUAUGGUGUGUUCGACUCCACCCCUUACCA
RNAcentral lists this transfer RNA (77 nucleotides) under Patescibacteria group bacterium. RNAcentral describes it as "tRNA-Phe". It matches the Rfam family "tRNA". Rfam says of the family: Transfer RNA (tRNA) molecules are approximately 80 nucleotides in length. Their secondary structure includes four short double-helical elements and three loops (D, anti-codon, and T loops). The record is from RNAcentral.